CUUAAACAGCUUGCUUUUUAAGUUAGCGGCGGACGGGUGAGUAACACGUGGGCAACCUGCCUGUAAGACUGGGAUAACUUCGGGAAACCGGAGCUAAUACCGGAUAAUCCUUUUCUACUCAUGUAGAAAAGCUGAAAGACGGUUUACGCUGUCACUUACAGAUGGGCCCGCGGCGCAUUAGCUAGUUGGUGAGGUAACGGCUCACCAAGGCGACGAUGCGUAGCCGACCUGAGAGGGUGAUCGGCCACACUGGGACUGAGACACGGCCCAGACUCCUAUCGGGAGGCAGCAGUAGGGAAUCUUCCGCAGUGGACGAAAGUCUGACGGAGCAACUUCGCGUGAGUGAUGAAGGUUUCCGGAUCGUAAAACUCUGUUGUUAGGGUAGAACAAAGUACGA
RNAcentral lists this ribosomal RNA (397 nucleotides) under uncultured bacterium. RNAcentral's name for it is "bacterial SSU rRNA". It matches the Rfam family "Bacterial small subunit ribosomal RNA", at positions 70 to 459 of the family's 1533-position model. The record is from RNAcentral.